CCGCAUGAGUUGCGUCCUGCUGUAAAUAUGGACAAACAAUAUAUUUGACGGAAUUUAGGUGAGCAUUUUAUGAGUCGUAGAUGCUCAUAAAGGACCGUCACACAUAC
RNAcentral lists this small nucleolar RNA (107 nucleotides) under Setaria italica (foxtail millet). Lineage: Eukaryota; Viridiplantae; Streptophyta; Magnoliopsida; Poales; Poaceae. The record is from RNAcentral. RNAcentral also lists the same sequence under 1 other name.